GGUUUCCGUAGGUGAACCUGCGGAAGGAUCAUUGUCGAAACCUGCAUCGCAGAACGACCAGCGAACACGUUCUUAUCCACGGACGUGGGGGCGUUCAUGUUGCCUUGUGCGCAUGCUUGUCCCUCGUCUGCGCUAGUGGGAAUUUGCCCUAGCAAACCAACGAACCCCGGCGCGAAAAGCGUCAAGGAACAUAAACAAAACGUGUGCUCUAUCCUUUGCCCGGUUAACCGGUGCAGUGGUGUGAUGCCGUGUCUUAACAAUAAACGACUCUCGGCAACGGAUAUCUCGGCUCUCGCAUCGAUGAAGAACGUAGCGAAAUGCGAUACUUGGUGUGAAUUGCAGAAUCCCGUGAACCAUCGAGUCUUUGAACGCAAGUUGCGCCCGAAGCCUUGGCUAAGGGCACGUCUGCCUGGGCGUCACGCAUCGCGUCCCCCCACACCACCUCGUGUGGGGGGAGGAUGAUGGCUUCCCGUCCCUCACCGGGGGCGGUUGGCCUAAAUUUGGAGCCAGGAGCAUUGAGCUGCCGCGGCGAUAGGUGGUGAACAAGGCUUAGGCCGAGCAAACAACCCGUCGCGCAGGUCUUUGUGCUCGAAGGACCCUGUGAUGUCGCAUUGUUGCGGCUGAACGCUGCGACCCCAGGUCAGGCGGGGCUACCCGCU
This 659-nucleotide ribosomal RNA is filed under the name Bufonia parviflora. Its description in RNAcentral is "eukaryotic LSU rRNA". The stretch from base 266 to 419 matches the Rfam family "5.8S ribosomal RNA". Lineage: Eukaryota; Viridiplantae; Streptophyta; Magnoliopsida; Caryophyllales; Caryophyllaceae. The record is from RNAcentral.